Daphnia pulicaria is the source of this 729-nucleotide long non-coding RNA. RefSeq lists it as uncharacterized. The record is from RefSeq and is a predicted model, not a curated record. Lineage: Eukaryota; Metazoa; Arthropoda; Branchiopoda; Diplostraca; Daphniidae. The transcript is spliced from 3 exons.
UGGCAGUGUCAGUGUGGGUUUUGGGUUUUGAGAGAAAGUGACGCCAUUGUCCAUUGAUGGGAGUUUUCAGUUUUGAUGCUAGCUACAUUGCUUCGUAGAUGUAUUUCUAUUUGUGAUGGGUUGACUAUUGUGAGUGCGAUUAAUUUGUUUUUGUACGUAGAGCACCUUUUUUAAAGUAUAGAACUUCACUUCAAUCCACGGCCCCCAAUUUUGUGUUUGAGAGUCGACAAUGUGCAAUGGUUUUUCAGCCGGUUUCCAGUUCUGGUGUUAUCCUGGAUUGUGUUGAUAGUCUAUGAUUUACAAUGGGUAAACUUUGUGGCCAGAUGGUGAAGGAUGUCAUCAAGUUCAGUUGUUGCACGAAGUCUGUGGUGCCAGUGUUAUCCUAGAGUGUGGGACAGUAGUCUCUCUCUGUAUUGAUUGACUGAAAUUUGCAUGUUGAUAAAAUUAAUGGAAUGCAGGUUAGAUAUUUAUAUGUGAUUAGGUAUGAUAAACAUAUGUACAAACUAAUGUCGAUAAGACCUUGUGUCGAUCGAACCUUGUGAAUGUUACAUUUCCCAUAAGAAAUAUUUAAUUAAAUGCCAACUAAUAUAAUCCAACUUGCUUUCUUCAUCUUUUCUAACCUGUUUUCAAACCUACAAGACCCACACUGCAUGCAAAUUAAACAUAAGUCCCGUUUGUUGAUUAAGUGUUUAAUAAACAGGUGCCGUGUUGCACUGUUGCUCUCUGAAA